Molecule: ribosomal RNA, 268 nt
Filed under: uncultured Glomus
Lineage: Eukaryota; Fungi; Glomeromycota; Glomeromycetes; Glomerales; Glomeraceae
Description: partial small subunit ribosomal RNA
Rfam family: Eukaryotic small subunit ribosomal RNA
Source: RNAcentral
UAAAGUUGUUCCAGUUAUAAAGCUCGUAGUUGAAUUCCGGGGUUAGUAGGUUGGUCGUGCCACUGGUAUGUACUGGCUUUACUGAUUCCUCCUUCUUGAAGAACUGUAAUGUCAUUAAUUUGAUGUUGCAGGGAAACAGGACUGUUACUUUGUAAAAAUUAGAGUGUUUAAAGCAGGCUAACGCCUGAAUACAUUAGCAUGGAAUAAUGAAAUAGGACGUUUGAUCCUAUUUUGUUGGUUGCUAGGAUUGACGUAAUGAUUAAUAGGG